RNAcentral lists this long non-coding RNA (365 nucleotides) under Pongo abelii (Sumatran orangutan). Its description in RNAcentral is "lincRNA". The record is from RNAcentral. Lineage: Eukaryota; Metazoa; Chordata; Mammalia; Primates; Hominidae.
CCAUGGAAGAAGGUGCUUGUUUCCCCUUUGCCUUCCGCCAUGAUUGUAAGUUUCCUGAGGUCUCCCAGUCAUACUGCUGGUUAGGCCUGCGAAACUGUGUACUUGUUUGAAAUGUAUCUGGCCCAAUCGCUGAGCGUCCGCGCUGCAUUUCUCCAAACUGCCCAGCAGGGGGCGGUGCUACUUCAGGGCUCCGCGCAGCCACGGCUUCCCGCCGGCGAACGAAGGGCGCGGAAUCUGGAGAGGGCGAGGGACAUCUUUCCUCCCACCUGUCCCCCGCCAGGCCUGCCAGACCUGUCUCAUCCGUGCUGCUGCUUCUGAAAAUCAGAAGAGUGAGGAUGAAAUAAAGUCUUCAUAAAGGAAAACCA